Molecule: long non-coding RNA, 589 nt
Filed under: Homo sapiens (human)
Lineage: Eukaryota; Metazoa; Chordata; Mammalia; Primates; Hominidae
Description: novel transcript
Source: RNAcentral
ACCCUGGAGAAAGAAUCUUACAAAGAAUACUAAAGAGCAUCCAAGUGUGAAGAAUGAAACACACAAUGCACAUGAAGUCCAGCCAUGGUGUAGCCAAGGAGACCCACUAAGACCACCAAAAGCUUGGAAAUGAGGAUGCAGGGGCAAAGGACGGCAUUAUAGGCGUGAGUGAUAAGAAAUUAUACAGGAAUGACACAUUUGGCAAUAAAGAACACAAAGAGAUAGUUCCUGGACCUGAACAGGAAAAGACGGUGCCAGGAUACUAUGAAGAAUCUUCACAAGCACUGAUUGAAUAGUAAACAAAUAUGUUUCUGCAUUUCUGACAACCAGAUGGCCGCACCUGGACCUGCCAACCAGUCCUGUGGCCCCCACCCAGGAAAUGACUCAGCAUAAGAGGACAGCUUUGACUCCCUAUGAUUUCAUCCCCGAGCCAAUCAAUCAGCACUCCUGAUUUACUGGCCUGCUACCCACCAAAUUAUCCUUAAAAACUCUGAUCCUUGAGUCUUCUGGGAGACUGAUUUGAGUAAUAAUGAAACUCUGGUCUCGUUUAUAGCCAGCUCUGCGUGAAUUAAACUCUUUUCUAUUGCAA